AUCAUGUGGUGUAGGCAUGAUGGAUGACGAUUUGCUUUUGAUGGUCUGCUCUGGUGUUUGCAGUGGCGACAGUGGCACUACUAGCUCAUGUUAUCAAAGUCAGAAAUUGGAAAGGCCAGUUGAACAUACCCGAUCCAGCAGCUUUUGGGUUCAAAGAAGAUGGUUUUUGGCGAAGUUAAGUAAGAUGGUUUUUUUAAU
Arachis ipaensis is the source of this 198-nucleotide non-coding RNA. The record is from RefSeq and is a predicted model, not a curated record. Lineage: Eukaryota; Viridiplantae; Streptophyta; Magnoliopsida; Fabales; Fabaceae.